Molecule: long non-coding RNA, 608 nt
Filed under: Eptatretus burgeri (inshore hagfish)
Lineage: Eukaryota; Metazoa; Chordata; Myxini; Myxiniformes; Myxinidae
Description: lncRNA (ENSEBUG00000017222.1)
Source: RNAcentral
CUUCCUCUUCUUUACCAUCCACUGUACAGGACUGAGGACAGUGUGGACGAUAUGGAGGUAUCUGUUACGAAUACCGGGAAAAAAAGGCCAAAAACGGUCAAAUGUUGAUGCCUUUGAUGCUUAGGAGCAGAAUAAGGUCCAGAUCGUGUCAGGCUCGGUGGACCUCCAAGGGACGUCUCACAUUGGAAACCCCUUGGUGGUGCUGGAGUCGUGUGCGGAUGUGGAGACUUCGCUUGCUCCAAUGGCCGACUCCGAGCGGGACACAGAGAACGCAUGGUCUAAGUAACUUCAGAAAGGACAUGACAGUGGAGACCUGUGUGGUUUGAGCAUCCCUCAAGGAACUUUCUCAACUGAUUGCUGAGAGAGGUAUGCUAACCACCGUGGGAAAGGAGCACAGUGCCAAGACUGGAUUAACGGAAAAACAUCGCCUGACACAGCAUCCACCAUCAUGCAUAAUCGGAUGGUCUUCAUUCCUCAGAAGAAAACUUUUGUUACCUCUUCUAGUCAUCAAUGAUCAAGGAAUGGUAUGGAGAUGGAAUACAGAUGUGAGAAUCGCUCUCAGUGUUCGGUGUGAUCACCCAAUCCAAGGCAGGGCGAUUCAUAAAUGA